Molecule: long non-coding RNA, 2164 nt
Organism: Aquila chrysaetos chrysaetos
Lineage: Eukaryota; Metazoa; Chordata; Aves; Accipitriformes; Accipitridae
Exons: 2
Source: RefSeq, a predicted model, not a curated record
CGGAGGGCAGCAGGGGCGGGGGGAGCCUGCAGGGCUGCUCAGCCUUGUUUUUCUGCAGAGGGGACUCCUUCCGUCCUUUGGUCUCUUAGUCAGCUUAGCCAGGUGUAAACGAAGCGAAGGGCGCGGUGGGGGGCGGGAGGCGUUCGUCCGGAGAGGGAAUUUGAAACGUUGCUCGAAAGCCCUCAUUCGGGGGGCAGAGGGUUGGUGCCGCUCUCUGUUUGACAGGCAUCUGUCAAACUCUCGCCCAGCUUUUUAUUUUUAAUCUCUCAUAAGCCACAGUGCCGCAGUUUGACAGCCCUGAGUCAGUGUGAAUCCAAGCGCUCCUCCUGUGUGGGCUGGUGGAAAGGAGGUCCCAGCUGCAGAUGCCUCGGGCUGAAGCAGCAAUUUUACUUCUCGACUGUUAACGUGACACUUGGGUGACUGCAACAGGCUGAGCAAUGUGUCUCUGGCAUGUGUCCCUAUGUCUCGCUAAAAACAGCCACAGUAAAACAGGAUGGAGAAGAAAAUAGGAAAGAUGAUAGUAUUUGGAGAAAAAUUGCAUAUCCACAGAGAAGAACAAGUUAUUUCAGAUGGAGAAAAAGUCUUGCAACGACAGCUGAAAUGUUGAGCUAGUAAAAGAAAACUGUGAAAGGCCUUGAUUACAAAUCUAUUUGUGUGUCAAAAAUACCAUGUGUACUACUUCAUAGUUUUAUGGAUUAGGCUGAGCUAUGGUGAGGCAAUCUUACCUCACCAGUUCAUCUGUAACAGCCUUCAGUGGAGUAGACUACUUAACCCAACCGAAAUCUGUUCUUGCAAAUGGUAUAAGCACUUAUUUUAUUAGAACUUUAAAGAUAGAAGUUUCCAUUAUUUAUGAUGUACCAACUGUCUGCUGUAGUAGCCUCCCAGAGUAAGAAAUACUCUCUUUAAAAUGAAUGGAUGUAUAAACAGGGAAAAUGAGGUCUGCAGGCUUGCAAUUUUCACAAACUUAAUAUAUAUAAAAAUUUAAAUUUUUCCUGUAAUGCUAUUAAUGUAUAUGAAGUGGUGCGAUUUUCCUUUGUGGUAUACUGUCAGAAAACAGGUGGCCAGGUUUCAUACAAUAGUGGAAGGGAAAAUCAAUACUGUAACUGUGGCUUCUUUUCCAGACUUGUCUGGAAAGGAUUUCUGGCAUAUGUCUUUUUCUGCUUCAUAAGAUAUUGCAGCAUCUGGAGGCUGUGCAGUUAAUCUCAAACUCUCAGUAUUUUAACCCAUACCUUUGUAGUUUAAUACAUAAAAUACUCCCAUAGCAUGGGAAGUUUCUAAUGAAAUGUUAUAAAUAGCCAGAUCUAAAAUUUAAAAAGUUACAGGGAAGCAACCAUUUUGGCUCAGAUGAGUAUAUUUUGCCUAUCAGCUAAGAGACUAUGUAUGGUAUUGCCGAAGACUAGACCAGUGCUGUGCUCAGAGGAGAAAAAGCAUAUUCUUGCUUUCUUUACCCUCUUUGACCCUCUGAAAGGAUAACACUUGCAGGCUUUGUGUACUGAUUUUUAAAUCCAUUGUGCGUAUGUCUAAGCAUAAGCUUCUCCUAUCUAUUCUGUAAGCAGAUCAGAUAAAGUGCUUUGAAAUUCUACCUGAAGCCAUUAAAAUGGUGACAAGAUGUUUUAUUUACAAAAUUGUAUGUUAACUCUUUGGUGUUUUCUAAACUUUGAAAUCUCUCAUGUUAGCUUUGUUUAAUCUUCUCAGACACAUAUAUCUCCAAAGCAAGUUUAUUUAAAUUAUUUGACUUUUUUUUUGCUGAUAUUUCACAUACGCCCGGUGAAACUCCUGACAGUUCUCUGUGUGGUUUAACAGAAACCAACAAAUCUUUUGUUUGCCCAAAUGUGACAUCAAAUACAUCAACUAGCCUAUACUGUCUAAGCCAGCAAAUCUAUCCUAUGUUCACAUGUACUUAUCAAUAUCUCACUGCAAGAUAUGAAAAAUUAUUUGUCUUCUACUUGCUGUUGUUUAUGUAAUGAUGCUUUGCCCUUAACUGUUCUGUACCCCAUCCCUCUGGCCUAAAAAUAGAUCACCUGUGGAAACAGGCUGUGAAGUUUUCAUUAUAGAAUGUGUUUGAUCUGUACAAGCCAGUGUAAAUUUAUAUUGUGUGUAUCCUUUAUGAUUAUGAAAAACAAAACUUCUCCUUCCCUGAGGCAAGACAUGUUAAUAAAAGAAA